GAUGAACGCUGGCGGCGUGCCUAAUACAUGCAAGUCGAACGCAUAGCGAAAGGUGCUUGCACCUUUCAAGUGAGUGGCGAACGGGUGAGUAACACGUGGACAACCUGCCUCAAGGCUGGGGAUAACAUUUGGAAACAGAUGCUAAUACCGAAUAAAACUUAGUGUCGCAUGACACAAAGUUAAAAGGCGCUUCGGCGUCACCUAGAGAUGGAUCCGCGGUGCAUUAGUUAGUUGGUGGGGUAAAGGCCUACCAAGACAAUGAUGCAUAGCCGAGUUGAGAGACUGAUCGGCCACAUUGGGACUGAGACACGGCCCAAACUCCUACGGGAGGCUGCAGUAGGGAAUCUUCCACAAUGGGCGAAAGCCUGAUGGAGCAACGCCGCGUGUGUGAUGAAGGCUUUCGGGUCGUAAAGCACUGUUGUAUGGGAAGAACAGCUAGAACAGGAAAUGAUUUUAGUUUGACGGUACCAUACCAGAAAGGGACGGCUAAAUACGUG
RNAcentral lists this ribosomal RNA (497 nucleotides) under uncultured bacterium. RNAcentral describes it as "partial 16S ribosomal RNA". It matches the Rfam family "Bacterial small subunit ribosomal RNA", at positions 28 to 507 of the family's 1533-position model. The record is from RNAcentral.